Molecule: long non-coding RNA, 3843 nt
Organism: Harpia harpyja (harpy eagle)
Lineage: Eukaryota; Metazoa; Chordata; Aves; Accipitriformes; Accipitridae
Exons: 2
Source: RefSeq, a predicted model, not a curated record
UAAGGUGUGAGCACUGGCUGAAGAUUUUUUCAUAUUUGAACAUUGCGAAGUUGUUGUUUGGUUGGUUUUUUUUUUCCUAUGCUCUCCAGUAUCUAGUAAGAGCCUGCAAAAAGGUUUCCUUUGUUUCUCACAGCUGCUGGCUUUUGUAAUACUUAUAGGAGCAUAUAAACUUAAAACCUUUGUCAAAUGUGGCAGAUGGCUUCAAAAGCUUUGGGGGAAGAAGUGCAUUCUUGCCUGCAUGUCUGAAAUGUGAUUGUGUAAGACUUGUUUCCUUAAGGUAUUGGGCUAAAUGCAAGUAAUGAAACCAGAUAAACUGUUAGACUGGAAGAGUUUUCUUUUUCCAGUUUUCUAAUCAUCUAAGCCACUUGCUACCCUUUUUUUUUUUUUUUUUUUUCAGAUGACACUGGGCUGUCUUCCGCUGAAGAAUGUUGUCUUCCAAACCAAGGACACAGCUUCUUCUCAAGUCUAAUCUGCUUUAUCAUGCUGCAGAAUAUAUUUGCCAGGACCCAAACUUCCCAGCUGCAUCCCCAGAGCUCUGCACCAUGUCAGCGUGUCAGACAAGAGGUUCCUGUUCAUUCAUUAAGAAGCAACGUGCUCAAAAUAGGAAUAAAUACCGAGUCUUACUCAGUAAGGGUAAGUAGGGCUUUUUAAUACCACAUCUAUUUAGCUUUCCCCCAUUUAGCUUUCCUCGUACUUUAUGAACAAAGAAACAUGAUCAAAAGCACUUGUUUGUAUACUUCAGUUUUUACUCUGCAUUACACUUGCAGCAUGCACUUCAAGUUAGUGUUAAAAUUAAGAUCAGUUGGUAAAGGUUGUGACUUAAUCAGUAUGGGGUAGAGAUGCUGUAAUGCUCACAGAAAUGGUCACUUGUCUGAAAGAAAAGUAGCUUGCCCUAACUUUUUACAUCACCUCUACCUAGGGGGUGUUGCUAAGUGUUUCUGCAGAGCAGCCUGCUGCCACAGCUGUGAUGCUGUGUAGCAAGUCUGUAAUGUUUUGAAAGUGGCCUUUAAUGUUUGAACUUCCAGCAAGCCAGCUUUGUGUUUUCUAGUGUUGACAUGUGGCUUCCAGACUUUAAAACCCAAUACAUGUUAUUGUAUUGCAUGAAUGUUGAAUUUAAACCAUAUUUUAAUAAUUUGGCCACCUGUACAAUAUCCUAAUAAUCUUAAAAUAGAGAACUUGAGAUCCUCUGUAAAAUUAUUUGUAGCAGAUGUUAAAUCUUUGGUGUAUUCUACACAUUUACACGCUGGGGGACAGAUAUUAAACAUUACCCUUACAAAAAUAACCCAAAACAUAUUUAUUUCAAAGAAUUAGAAUGGUUCAUAGCAGGAAGUGGAUGCAGGAAGCCUCAUCCAUUGUUGUGGUUUGUUUUAAAGGUGUGCUCAAAAUGAGAUGAAAAAAAGUUUGUCGUUACUGCAGUUGGACAAAAUCAUUUGAGUGUUUAAAAGAUAAAAAGCCUUUUUUUUAUAUGUUGUUCCAGCAACUUUCUCAGCUGUUAUUUUUCUAGCCCAGCUUUCUUUUUAUUAUUAUUUUUUUUAGUACACUUCAACUCUCCGACCUUAAAAAUGUAAUUAUGGGGCACUAAAUCCUAAGUGUCAAACCCAUUCUCUGAUGAUUGAAAAAUUACCCUUUUGGUCAGAACUUGAGAGCCAGAAAUUAAAAACUUGCUGGCAAGAGGCAAAUGUUAUAGCCUGAUGUGACUGGGUAACAAGUCUCUUUAGUAGCAAAGUGAAGUGCUGCUUUUAAAGAUAAAGAUGUUGUUGACAAGCAAACGUGUAUAUAUAGUCUCCGUUGAUGUAGCUAGCUCCAAGUCUGCAAACUCUGAAUUGGCUUCAGAAACCAUGACACUUUUAAAAUCUGAGUACGUUUUGGGGUGGGUUUUGCCUCCUGAGGUUUCGAGUUCACCCUGUAACUACAAGGGCUGGACUUUUCCUUUCUUUCUUUGUGAUGAAAGUUAAGGUUAUGGCAAAGUCUUGUGUUUCCAGGAACUAUGACUUUAGGAAAACCAGUGUCUAACACAGCAAUAAAAGGGCAGCAAGCCCCUACCCACUCCUUCAACUACUGCCUCUUCCUCUGUAGGAAACAUCACCUCGGGCUUCUUCAGUUGGGAUAAAUAUCAUACUUGCCCCACUCUUCCAUUUUCCCUUCUCCAGUUGUCUCUCUUGUCCACCUCCCACCCUGCCCACCCUGUGCUGACAUCCUCCUCCCUCCCCUCCCAUCCUUGCGUUUCAGACGUUUUCCAGCCUCAGGUGUAGGGGCAACCUCUAGACAAUGUUAUUCUGUGGGAAGACUCCCAGCCUUUCCCCUGGUGCUGUCGAGUUUAUUUGUGCUGGCAGCAAUGGCAGUAAGUGCAAAUUCUGGAAAGAGAAAAUAGAUGGAGGGCUGUUAAAUGCCAAGAACAAAUGCUAGAUUGCCAGCAACUGGUAGGGCAGACCAAGGGGGGUGCUGCUGCAGGCUUCCUUGGAGCAUCUGUUCUUUCCCUCAUCUGCCACGGGCUGGUGUAAGACGGGGUGCUGACUGGGACCUCGCUUUGACCAGCUUCAGCUCCUUUGAUGUUCCCAAUGAUGCGGAGCCAGAGGAGCAAGCGGUGGGCACCACCUCUGAGCUGGGAGCCGAGCAGUGCCGGCCCUGCCCUAUUGCAGCCUUUAACUAGUAUUUCCUGCAGUAGGAAAAUGUGUUACAGUCACCGACGUGAUGAUGUGGCUCUCAACUUGAGAUCCUAACAGGGUAAGGAAAAAGGACCAAAUUUUCAAGACACCACUGGUCGUAGAGGCUUCAGUUUUGCCUCUAUUUGUCCAAAGACAGUUUGGCCAUAACUUUUGGAAGAGCAGAGCAUGCACAGGUCUAACUGGGUUGUCCCACCUGCUUCAACCUCAAGGAACUAAUCCAGGGUGAGGAAUGAAAAGGCAGGUGCUCAGCCUUGGGUCAGAGUUGAUGUGUUUUGCUUAAAAAGCAGAGGGGCUGUUGACUGAUUAAAACUAUGAGUUCUGCUACAUUUUCUGCGUUCAUAAAGAAAAUAGGAGCAUCAGUCAGUGAACUGUGCUGCCUGGUGUGUUUAGGGGUUACCAUUGAAAAUCUGGCUUAGGGAGUGAAAAGUAUGAAUGCCUCUGCUGCUGGAGCUCAUAAAGAUAUGUCUGGUUGGCUUCUGCAGCAGGUGGUAGUGUCAACCUGGAUGUGACCUUUCUGUUUCUGGAGGAGAAUGGAUCAGGGGUGUUAUGCAGCCAAAAAAUAUUUGCAGCUGGAGACAGGGAUGGGGCAAACUUUUCCUCUUUUAUCAUAAAUCAGUGCAAAACUUUUUUUUCAUGAUUAGAAUAAAAAUGCAUUGUCCUGUAGCUUUGUGGUGCAUGAAGUGAUGCUGAAAUACAUGAUAACCUCUGCUUUAUCCUGAAAUAAGCUAAAACUCAUCCCAAAGGCUUUUUUUUGUUCCAGAUUAUAGUGAAUGUAAACAUACAUGUGUAUAUAUGGACUUACAUAAUCACUUACAGACUUUUGACAUGUCAACAUUAAUUUACAGUUGCUGAGAUUGUAUUGAUAGGCCUUUGGACACUCACAGCUUCUGAUCUUUUGCAUGGAAUGUGUAAUUUUUCUUCUGAAGGCUGGUUUAUUUAACCAGGUAGAUCAUCACAAGCAACGAUCGAGAUCUCUAUUUUGAUUUCUUGGCUAUAUAGUUUAGCAUUAAAGAUGCCUGUUAGGACUUGAUAAAUGGGAGCUGUAAUGGCAUGACUUAUUUAAGUGUGUAUGCAACUGAUGAUCUUCAAGUCACUACUGUGCAUAACCCACUCCUCUCAGCUCCAGAGUGCUAGCUAACCAACCCAAACAGCAAUUAGAAAGAAAAAAAAAAAUAAA